RNAcentral lists this ribosomal RNA (497 nucleotides) under uncultured bacterium. RNAcentral describes it as "partial 16S ribosomal RNA". It matches the Rfam family "Bacterial small subunit ribosomal RNA", at positions 28 to 507 of the family's 1533-position model. The record is from RNAcentral.
GAUGAACGCUGGCGGCGUGCCUAAUACAUGCAAGUCGAGCGAACGGACGAGAAGCUUGCUUCUCUGAUGUUAGCGGCGGACGGGGGAGUAACACGUGGAUAACCUACCUAUAAGACUGGGAUAAAUUCGGGAAAACGGAGCUAAUACCGGAUAAUAUUUUGAACCGCAUGGUUCAAAAGUGAAAGACGGUCUUUCUGUCACUUAUAGAUGGAUCCGCGCUGCAUUAGCUAGUUGGUAAGGUAACGGCUUACCAAGGCAACGAUGCAUAGCCGACCUGAGAGGGUGAUCGGCCACACUGGAACUGAGACACGGUCCAGACUCCUACGGGAGGCAGCAGUAGGGAAUCUUCCGCAAUGGGCGAAAGCCUGACGGAGCAACGCCGCGUGAGUGAUGAAGGUCUUCGGAUCGUAAAACUCUGUUAUUAGGGAAGAACAUAUGUGUAAGUAACUGUGCACAUCUUGACGGUACCUAAUCAGAAAGCCACGGCUAACUACGUG